RNAcentral lists this non-coding RNA (23 nucleotides) under Cricetulus griseus (Chinese hamster). The record is from RNAcentral. Lineage: Eukaryota; Metazoa; Chordata; Mammalia; Rodentia; Cricetidae.
CUGGGAGCAGGGUUGAGUCAGAU